This is a non-coding RNA of Misgurnus anguillicaudatus (oriental weatherfish), 845 nucleotides long. The record is from RefSeq and is a predicted model, not a curated record. Lineage: Eukaryota; Metazoa; Chordata; Actinopteri; Cypriniformes; Cobitidae.
UUACAGUACCUGUGUUUGGUCUGUGGUUGGGUUCUCAACAGAAGGUCCUAUAAUAUCAGUUCCUACAUCCGGCAAGUCUUCAUCUGAUCUUCUGAUCUCCUCACGUCUAUAACAAAAACAUCAGAUGGUUGUCUUCUUCAUAUCCAGUGGAGAAGGUACGACACCUCAGAGAGCAGAAGAACAUACACAAGAACUAACAGGAGAGAUGCUGAAGAGCGAUUCCUGCAUUGUGACACGUGAUGUUCAUUCAACACAGGCAUUCACAAAUGUGCUACGGUUAUUCAGAUAUCACGUAACAGAGCACAAGAAGACAUGCAAAUGGAUAUGAGGUGAAGAGUUCUGCACGAGACUGCGCUGCUCCACACCUGAACCUGCCGAAUGCAAAACGCAGACAUGAGAACACUGUGAUUAUUCAAACACAAAAUUAACAAAAUUAUUAUCUUCAGAGAAUCUGCUUCAGUUUUCAUGACAAUAUGCAAAGAUAUUGGAUAUAGCAAGUUUGAUCACUCCUAUAACUAUGAAUAGGGGAUAAUGCAAUUAAUGCUUAAUAUGGCAGUUCUGGUGAUACAAGUCCCGCCCUCCAGUUAAAACAACCAAACAUGAAUCGAUAAACACUUGCAAUUCUCUGAGGCAGGGGCUCUAUAUAGAGUCACAUGAUGAGAAACACUUACCAACCUGUCUUUUAGCACAAUUUGCUUGAGAAACAAAGUUAUGUUACAAUUCAUGUCAGGUUUAAUUGUUGGUCAAAAGUUUGCAGUUUAACUGUGAUUUAAGCACACGAUUUUAGAGAUGUCUCUCUUAGAGAUGCACCAAUAUUUAAAAAAAAUCAGGCUGAUAUUGGCCAA